RNA transcript from Pieris napi, 1894 nucleotides. It is a transcript of the gene named dopamine receptor 2-like, with no coding region annotated. The record is from RefSeq and is a predicted model, not a curated record. The transcript is spliced from 4 exons. Lineage: Eukaryota; Metazoa; Arthropoda; Insecta; Lepidoptera; Pieridae.
ACUGCGAUAUAUCAAGAAAUGCCAGCGCAAUAUGUCCUUGAAAGUGGUUACCGAGAACAGAAUGCCUGCCAAGAAUGUAAUCUCCAAAUGGCUCAAAGUAAAACAAGGAAAACAUAAACACACACCAUGGCGCUAGAGAGCGAAUAACCAUUGGGAAAAUAUGAAUGCGACCGAUCCGGAAAUACUGGUGGCAAAUGGCCAACUCUACAAUUUGCACAAAGGACCCAAAUACACAUUGGAGCCAGUAGGCGCCGCUUAUAACAUUGUCCUUGAACUGAAUGCGUCCUAUGAAAACAGCUCACUGUAUAACAUCAGUGAUGAAACAAAAGAACCGUGGGGUGAAUACGUAACCCUCCUACAGGAUCGAGCAGUUCUAGUUAUCUUCCUCCUUCUGUUCUCCUUGACAACUGUAUUUGGCAACAUGCUAGUCAUAUUAGCCGUGAUACGAGAACGAUACUUGCAUACAUCAACGAACUACUUCGUGACAUCCCUGGCUGUAGCUGACUGUUUAGUAGGACUCGUCGUAAUGCCCUUUUCUGCCCUUUAUGAGGUUCUAGAACAUACGUGGUUCUUUGGCAUGGAUUGGUGUGAUGUAUGGCGUUCACUGGACGUAUUAUUUAGUACAGCCUCCAUACUAAAUUUAUGUGUUAUUUCGUUGGACCGGUAUUGGGCUAUCACGGACCCUAUUACAUAUCCGAUGCGAAUGAGCGGACGGAAAGCGGCAUUUCUUAUAGCAGCAGUUUGGGUUUGUUCCGGAGCAAUAUCCUUUCCUGCGAUCGCAUGGUGGCGUGCCGUCCGCUUAGAGGAAGUUCCGGACUAUAAAUGCCCUUUUACGGAAAACUUAGAGUACAUAAUAUUUUCAUCGACUAUAUCCUUUUAUUUGCCACUGUUUGUGAUGGUGUUUACAUAUUACCGUAUCUAUCGUGCCGCGACAAUACAGACGCGAUCGUUGAAGAUCGGCACAAAGCAAGUGAUGCGUCCUAGUGGGGAGUUAGAAUUGACUUUACGGAUACACAGGGGUGGUACUAUGAGACAGCGAAGUGAGGUGUGUCAUGGUGUAUGUACUCCUGAAGAGCCUGACCAGGAGCCUCUAACUGCGUUGCAGAACAAUGGUUUGUCACGGUCAUCGACCCGGCUUACCAAUGUGACGCAUAACAAACAUUUGCCCAAAAACUUUUCGCUCUCCCGUAAACUAGCAAAGUUUGCGAAGGAGAAGAAAGCUGCUAAGACGUUAGGUAUCGUUAUGGGAGUGUUUAUAGUGUGUUGGUUACCUUUUUUUGUGGUGAACUUGCUCUCGGGAAUUUGCUCUUCAUGCAUUGCACAUGAGGAGAUUGUGAAUGUUGUGGUCACGUGGUUAGGCUGGGUCAACUCUUCAAUGAACCCGGUCAUUUAUGCGUGUUGGAGCAGAGAUUUUAGAAGGGCGUUCCUCAGAAUACUGUGUGUGUGCUGCCCGAGAAAACUGCGAAGAAAAUACCAACCGCAACUACGCUUCAAGCAAUCUCAGUGGCGUACAACAAGACGGUAUUAUUCGUCGGGUGAACUGCAAGCGAUCAGGCAGAAUUCUUGUGAACAAACUUAUAUAUAGCGAUAUCCCAACCUCUAUGUGCCUUUUCUGGAAUAUUCUCGACACUCGAAUCUAUUGUUUUGGAUAUCUAGUUUGUUCAAAUUGAGUACCCCGUAACAACAAUGAUGUACUCAUCCGUAUCACAGCACGAGAUGUGCCGUUUGUGACAGCAAACAAGGGCGGGAACCUGCAGACCACGUGCCAGAUGUUCCUGCCGGGAUCGUCGUACCGCGCGUAAUGGCGACAGAUACCCCCAAGAACUCGACCCUAUCACCAGCAUACAAUGUGACAAAUUAUACCCAGAUUCAGAAUCUGUUAGCGAAGUAAGUC